UACGUAGGGACCGAGCGUUGUCCGGAUUUACUGGGCGUAAAGAGCGCGCAGGCGGUCGAUCAAGUCGAGUGUGAAAGCCCCCGGCUCAACUGGGGAGGGUCAUUCGAUACUGAUCGACUCGAAGGCAGGAGAGGGUAGUGGAAUUCCCGGUGUAGUGGUGAAAUGCGUAGAUAUCGGGAGGAACACCUGUGGCGAAAGCGGCGCACUGGACCACAACUGACGCUGAGGCGCGAAAGCUAGGGGAGCAAACGGG
Molecule: ribosomal RNA, 253 nt
Filed under: uncultured bacterium
Lineage: Bacteria
Description: partial 16S ribosomal RNA
Rfam family: Bacterial small subunit ribosomal RNA
Source: RNAcentral